UAGAAUACUAACUGAUAUACUUGGUUAAUGUAAUGCAGUAAAAAAAUUUCAAAACUGCUCAGUAUGAAAAUAAAUAUCAAAUAUAAUUUUUUUAUUGGAAUUAUCACCUCUGCAGUAAGUUCUUCCUGACUGUUUUAGUUACAGAUUUUCCUGUUUCCAGAAACUGCAAAUCUGUGAAGUUCUCUGCAUUUUACUUCAUCUUUAAAUAUCUACUGUUCGAAUUUAGAAUAUCCUCCCUGGUUUUCCUGUUACUGGUAAGAUGACAACCACACUGUUCCUGAGAAGGAAUAGGAAAGCAAUUUACAUUUUGCAGUGAUUAGUGGCUAUUAAACAGCUGAUAAAAGUAUCCUAUACUUUCCAUGUGAAAGCUAACUGAAAAAAUCAGCAAACAACUGUGUAAAAUUUCUUCACCUAGAGCCUGGCUGGGCACUAGAACAGGCUCGUGAGG
This 448-nucleotide long non-coding RNA is filed under the name Cyanistes caeruleus (blue tit). RNAcentral's name for it is "lncRNA (ENSCCEG00000014526.1)". The record is from RNAcentral. Lineage: Eukaryota; Metazoa; Chordata; Aves; Passeriformes; Paridae.